RNAcentral lists this ribosomal RNA (468 nucleotides) under uncultured bacterium. Its description in RNAcentral is "partial 16S ribosomal RNA". It matches the Rfam family "Bacterial small subunit ribosomal RNA", at positions 28 to 507 of the family's 1533-position model. The record is from RNAcentral.
GACGAACGCUGGCGGCGUGCUUAACACAUGCCAGUCGAACGGAAAGGCCCUGCUUUUGUGGGGUGCUCGAGUGGCGAACGGGUGAGUAACACGUGAGUAACCUGCCCUUGACUUUGGGAUAACUUCAGGAAACUGGGGCUAAUACCGGAUAGGAGCUCCUGCUGCUUGGUGGGGGUUGGAAAGUUUCGGCGGUUGGGGAUGGACUCGCGGCUUAUCAGCUUGUUGGUGGGGUAGUGGCUUACCAAGGCUUUGACGGGUAGCCGGCCUGAGAGGGUGACCGGCCACAUUGGGACUGAGAUACGGCCCAGACUCCUACGGGAGGCAGCAGUGGGGAAUAUUGCACAAUGGGCGGAAGCCUGAUGCAGCAACGCCGCGUGCGGGAUGACGGCCUUCGGGUUGUAAACCGCUUUCGCCUGUGACGAAGCGUGAGUGACGGUAAUGGGUAAAGAAGCACCGGCUAACUACGUG